GGAAUACUCGUUACAUCACAUCUAAUCUACUUAACAUGGAAUCAUUUUAAUCAGGCCUGAUGCAAAGUCUAAAAGAACAAAAACCACAACAGCAAUUAUGAUGGUAACAACAAAAUGCUUUUACUUGAAUGGAAAGGCAUGAAAAAAAAUAUAAACAUUAGAAAACAUUUGUGAAAUUCUUGCAGCCAGAACCUGAAAACUGUUCAAGCAUUCUUUAAAAGAUCUUUUCCUUUUUUUGCCAUAUAAAAUGUAAAAUUAAAUUAAAAAAAUGCGUGACAAUAAGUCCAGAAUGCAAACACUUUAUAUUGAGAACACACAAAAGAAAGAUAGAAGUGUUCAGGCAUCAUACACAAGCAUAAGGAAAUAUUAUAUGGAGUCAUGGGGUUAAAUGCUCAAACCCUUCCCCUAAAACAAAAAAGCAAACACUUUUAAGUACUAAUAAACUGAUAACAUACUAAAGAAGGAUAAAGAGUGGCUCUACUCUAAUCACUAUAGGUAGCAAUUUUGUCCAUGAUAUUUCCUAAGACCUUCUUGGACUCUCCAAGCAACUUGAUGCUUAUGUUCAGCUUCUCGCGUUUAGCAGCAACUGAGGGCGAUUCUUCCAGCAUUCUUUCUAUUGCACCUCCAUGAUUACUAAUCAACUCGCUAAUGAUCUCCUUUUCCAUCUCCUUGUUCACAAGAUUUUGAACACUGAACUGCAAAUGCAGAGCCAUAGAAUCAACCAAUCUCCUCAAUACAAUCUUCCAGUAAGCAGUCAUUCUCAUCUUCAAGUCAAAAGCUUGGUGCAGAACAUUCUGAUAUGCUCUGAUAUCCCCAACUUCAACCACUCCAAUACCUUCAAUCUCUGCGCUAGAAUACCCUUGUGUCAGGGUUGUAUACCUGAAUGUAUCCUGUUUCUCCAUGAGCUUGUUCCAUUCACUCAUGUAGUCAGGAUUGCAAGUGUAAUCUGUCAUCUUCUCCAUUUGAACCAUUUCUGUAACCCAACUGAUAGACUGCUCUUUCAUUUUGGAUAUAAGG
RNAcentral lists this unclassified non-coding RNA (1017 nucleotides) under Hevea brasiliensis (rubber tree). Lineage: Eukaryota; Viridiplantae; Streptophyta; Magnoliopsida; Malpighiales; Euphorbiaceae. The record is from RNAcentral.